UACAGAGGGGGCAAGCGUUGUUCGGAAUUACUGGGCGUAAAGGGCGCGUAGGCGGCCUUCUAAGUCGAACGUGAAAUCCCCGGGCUCAACCCGGGAACUGCGUCCGAUACUGGAAGGCUUGAAUCUGGGAGAGGGAUGUGGAAUUCCAGGUGUAGCGGUGAAAUGCGUAGAUAUCUGGAGGAACACCGGUGGCGAAGGCGACAUCCUGGACCGGUAUUGACGCGUGAGGCGCGAAA
RNAcentral lists this ribosomal RNA (236 nucleotides) under uncultured bacterium. RNAcentral's name for it is "partial 16S ribosomal RNA". It matches the Rfam family "Bacterial small subunit ribosomal RNA", at positions 524 to 758 of the family's 1533-position model. The record is from RNAcentral.